RNAcentral lists this ribosomal RNA (468 nucleotides) under uncultured bacterium. RNAcentral describes it as "partial 16S ribosomal RNA". It matches the Rfam family "Bacterial small subunit ribosomal RNA", at positions 28 to 507 of the family's 1533-position model. The record is from RNAcentral.
GACGAACGCUGGCGGCGUGCUUAACACAUGCCAGUCGAACGGAAAGGCCCUGCUUUUGUGGGGUGCUCGAGUGGCGAACGGGUGAGUAACACGUGAGUAACCUGCCCUUGACUUUGGGAUAACUUCAGGAAACUGGGGCUAAUACCGGAUAGGAGCUCCUGCUGCAUGGUGGGGGUUGGAAAGUUUCGGCGGUUGGGGAUGGACUCGCGGCUUAUCAGCUUGUUGGUGGGGUAGUGGCUUACCAAGGCUUUGACGGGUAGCCGGCCUGAGAGGGUGACCGGCCACAUUGGGACUGAGAUACGGCCCAGACUCCUACGGGAGGCAGCAGUGGGGAAUGUUGCACAAUGGGCGGAAGCCUGAUGCAGCAACGCCGCGUGCGGGAUGACGGCCUUCGGGUUGUAAACCGCUUUCGCCUGUGACGAAGCGUGAGUGACGGUAAUGGGUAAAGAAGCACCGGCUAACUACGUG